GCAAGUCGAGGGGCAGCAUGGGACUUCGGUCCUGAUGGCGACCGGCGCACGGGUGAGUAACGCGUACGCAAUCUACCUCCAAGAGUGGAAUAGCCCUGGGAAACUGGGAUUAAUACCGCAUAGCAUCAUAAUGCCGCCUGGUAUAAUGAUUAAAGCUUCGGUGCUUGGAGAUGAGCGUGCGUCCUAUUAGCUAGUUGGUGAGGUAACGGCUCACCAAGGCGACGAUAGGUAGGGGGCGUGGAGCGGUGGUC
Molecule: ribosomal RNA, 251 nt
Filed under: uncultured bacterium
Lineage: Bacteria
Description: partial 16S ribosomal RNA
Rfam family: Bacterial small subunit ribosomal RNA
Source: RNAcentral